AGAGUUUGAUCCUGGCUCAGGAUGAACGCUGGCGGCGUGCCUAACACAUGCAAGUCGAACGAAGCACUUACGGAUGACCCCUUCGGGGGGAUUUUGUUUAUGACUGAGUGGCGGACGGGUGAGUAACGCGUGGGGAACCUGCCUCUGCCAGGGGGAUAACAGUUAGAAAUGACUGCUAAUACCGCAUAAGCGCACGGAACCGCAUGGUUCGGUGUGAAAAGCCGAGACGGACAGAGAUGGACCCGCGUCUGAUUAGGUAGUUGGUGAGGUAACGGCCCACCAAGCCGACGAUCAGUAGCCGACCUGAGAGGGUGACCGGCCACAUUGGGACUGAGACACGGCCCAAACUCCUACGGGAGGCAGCAGUGGGGAAUAUUGCACAAUGGGGGAAACCCUGAUGCAGCGACGCCGCGUGAAGGAAGAAGUAUUUCGGUACGUAAACUUCUAUCAGCAGGGAAGAGAUGACGGUACCUGAGUAAGAAGCUCCGGCUAAAUACGUGCCAGCAGCCGCGGUAAUACGUAUGGAGCAAGCGUUAUCCGGAUUUACUGGGUGUAAAGGGAGCGUAGGCGGCGAUGCAAGUCAGAGGUGAAAGCCCGGGGCUCAACUCCGGGACUGCCUUUGAAACUGUAUGGCUGGAUUGCAGGAGAGGUAAGUGGAAUUCCUAGUGUAGCGGUGAAAUGCGUAGAUAUUAGGAGGAACACCAGUGGCGAAGGCGGCUUACUGGACUGUAAAUGACGCUGAGGCUCGAAAGCGUGGGGAGCAAACAGGAUUAGAUACCCUGGUAGUCCACGCGGUAAAC
RNAcentral lists this ribosomal RNA (800 nucleotides) under uncultured bacterium. RNAcentral describes it as "bacterial SSU rRNA". It matches the Rfam family "Bacterial small subunit ribosomal RNA", at positions 8 to 807 of the family's 1533-position model. The record is from RNAcentral.